GUAGUCACAGCCAACAAGUGUGGAAACCGCCUCAGGACCGGCUUGAGUGGAGCGGCUGCGGGAGUUACUUCAUGACUGUGGUCUCACGCUGUGUUUCGCCACCCAUCCCUGCCUGGCCUGGCUUCCUUCCUUCCUCCUGGGUAACAGAGUCCCAAGAUUCCAAGUUCCAGGAGCAUGAAAGGACUCACUUGUGGAGAUUCCUGCCUGGGGCUCCCACCCACCUAAGGAAUGCCAUCCUUGUCACCGGCUCACGGGGCAGCUCUUUGGUAUCCUUCCAGGGUGGUGUGUACAAGUACAGGCACAUGGAUGCAUGGAUGCAUGAGCAUUUUUUUCUUUUGCCGACAUAUUAAUACACCCGGCAGCACUCUAGGCCCAUUGGCCUGCAACUUUUCAUUUGAUUGAUUUUUAAUUAUUUACUUUUUUAAAAAAUUGUAGUUAAAUAUACAUGACAUAUAUUUACCAUUUGAGUCUUUUUUUUUUUUUUGAGAUGGAGUCUUGCUCUAUCUCCCAGGCUGGAGUGCAGUGGUGUGAUCUCGGCUCACUGCAACCUCCACAGCCUGAUCCUGGGUUCAAGGGAUUCUCCUGCCUCAGCCUCCCGAGUAGUUGGGAUUACAGGCGCCUGCCACCAUGCCUGGAUAAUUUUUUUUUCUUUUGAGACGGAGUCUUGCUCUGUCACCCAGGCUGGAGUGCAGUGGUGCAAUCUCAGCUCACUGCAAGCUCCGCCUCCCAGGUUCACGCCAUUCUCCUGCCUCAGCCUCCCGAAUAGCUGCGACUACAGGUGCCCGCCACCACACCGGCUAAUUUUUUGUAUUUUUAGUAGAGACAGGGUUUCACCGUGUUAGCCAGGAUGGUCUCGAUCUCCUGACCUCGUGAUCAGCCUGCCUCGGCCUCCCAAAGUGCUGGGAUUAAAGGCAUGAGCCACUGUGCCCGGCCUAAUUUUUGUAUUUCUGUAGAGACAGGAUUUCACCAUGUUGGCUAGGCUGGUCUCAAACUCUUGACCUCAGGUGAUCUGCCCUCCUCGCCCUCCCAAAGUGUUGGGAUUACAGGUGUGAGCCACAGCACCCAGACCAUUUUUAAGUGCACAGUUCAGUGGUAUUACAUACAUUCACAGUGUUGUAUAAUCGUCACCACCAUCCAUCUUCAGAACUUUAUGCAUCUUGCAAAACUAAAACCUGCCCCCAUUAAACAGCAGCCCCCCUCAUCCCCUGCCCCCAACCCCUGGCAACCCCUAUUCUACUGUCCGUGCCUAUGAACCUCACUACUCUAUGCACCUCACAUACGUGGAACCACAUGGUAUCUGCCCUUUCGUCGCUGGCGUCUCUUAGCAUAACGUCCUCAAGGUUCAUCGGUGUUGGGGCACGUGUCGGGAUUUUAUGGUGUGUGAAUGACGUCUCAGUUUAAAAUGUUCUAGAGUUACCCAGUGGUGAUGGAUACACAACUCUGAAUAUGCCAACAACUUCUGACUGGUACACUUUGAGUGGGUGAUUGUAUGGUCUUUGAAUUGUGUCAAUAAAGCUGUCAUUUAAAAUAAAAUACCAAUCCGUGCUGGCACAGAGA
This 1557-nucleotide long non-coding RNA is filed under the name Homo sapiens (human). Its description in RNAcentral is "HSALNT0404952". The record is from RNAcentral. Lineage: Eukaryota; Metazoa; Chordata; Mammalia; Primates; Hominidae.